CUCACAGGCUACAACCCUUUCACAAGCGAAGUUCCUCUCUGCCAAGACAGGAGAGUAUGACUGGAAGAGAUGUGCUGUAUCGCUGGACAUCAUGCUAGCUAAUUGUGAAGCUAGACAUUCAGUCUCCCCAUGUACUCUCAGCAGGUAAAGGCUAUGGCCUUGAAGGAGAAACCCAUGACAGAGAGGAGUUCCACAUGGGUUUCUACCAGCUUCUCUACCGUUGACCUGCUCUGUGAGGCCUCUUUCAUCCUGUGCUGGGGCUUCUCUGAUGCAGUGACUGGGCUGCCUGGCAUUCAGCUGACUGUUCUGUAAUAUAUUCCAUAAGAUUCCUCAGAAGAUUCUGAGGGAUUGAGCACCAAUUGACGAUAGCAGCAGCCAAUUCAAGAAUUCAUCCUUGUUUGGGGGUUUACUUCCUUCCCCUUCACUCUCCCCACCUCUCACAACUGCUC
Suricata suricatta (meerkat) is the source of this 449-nucleotide long non-coding RNA. RefSeq lists it as uncharacterized. The transcript is spliced from 4 exons. The record is from RefSeq and is a predicted model, not a curated record. Lineage: Eukaryota; Metazoa; Chordata; Mammalia; Carnivora; Herpestidae.